GACGAACGCUGGCGGCGUGCUUAACACAUGCAAGUCGAACGGUGAAGGGAUCAGCUUGCUGGUUCUGGAUGAGUGGCGAACGGGUGAGUAACACGUGAGUAACCUGCCCCCUUCUUCUGGAUAACCGCAUGAAAGUGUGGCUAAUACGGGAUAUUCUGGGUCUGUCGCAUGAUGGGUCUGGGAAAGAUAUUGUUUCGGUGGGGGAUGGGCUCGCGGCCUAUCAGCUUGUUGGUGGGGUGAUGGCCUACCAAGGCGGUGACGGGUAGCCGGCCUGAGAGGGUGGACGGUCACACUGGGACUGAGACACGGCCCAGACUCCUACGGGAGGCAGCAGUGGGGAAGAGUGCACAAUGGGCGCAAGCCUGAUGCAGCGACGCCGCGUGAGGGAGGGAGGCCUUCGGGUUGUAAACCUCUUUCGCCAGUGAAGCAGGCCUGCUCCGUGUGGGUGGGUUGACGGUAGCUGGAUAAGAAGCGCCGGCUAACUACGUG
RNAcentral lists this ribosomal RNA (489 nucleotides) under uncultured bacterium. Its description in RNAcentral is "partial 16S ribosomal RNA". It matches the Rfam family "Bacterial small subunit ribosomal RNA", at positions 28 to 507 of the family's 1533-position model. The record is from RNAcentral.